This 236-nucleotide ribosomal RNA is filed under the name uncultured bacterium. RNAcentral's name for it is "partial 16S ribosomal RNA". It matches the Rfam family "Bacterial small subunit ribosomal RNA", at positions 15 to 244 of the family's 1533-position model. The record is from RNAcentral.
GAUCCUGACUCAGGAUGAACGCUAGCGGCAGGCCUAACACAUGCAAGUCGAGGGGCAGCAUAGUGGAUAGCAAUAUCUAUGGUGGCGACCGGCGCACGGGUGCGUAACGCGUAUGCAACCUACCUUUAACAGGGGGAUAACACUGAGAAAUUGGUACUAAUACCCCAUAACAUCAUGAAAGGCAUCUUUUAUGGUUGAAAAUUCCGAUGGUUAGAGAUGGGCAUGCGUUGUAUUAG